AUUCACCGAAACAAACCAUCAGUCAACGAACUUCACUCGAACAAAACGAAAAUGGCAGAUUCCACCAUACGAAUCGGAAUUGUAGGCUGUGCUGAAAUUGCACGUAAAGUGUCACGGGCUAUACUCCUUUCACAAACCGCUACUCUCUACGCCGUCGGCAGUCGUACAAUCGAAAAAGCCCAAAAAUUCGCCGCCGACAAUGGUUUUCCGGCGACGGCGAAAGUGUACGGUAGCUAUGAAGAAGUUGUCG
This 250-nucleotide unclassified non-coding RNA is filed under the name Hevea brasiliensis (rubber tree). Lineage: Eukaryota; Viridiplantae; Streptophyta; Magnoliopsida; Malpighiales; Euphorbiaceae. The record is from RNAcentral.